Molecule: ribosomal RNA, 254 nt
Filed under: uncultured bacterium
Lineage: Bacteria
Description: partial 16S ribosomal RNA
Rfam family: Bacterial small subunit ribosomal RNA
Source: RNAcentral
UACAGAGGGUGCAAGCGUUAAUCGGAAUUACUGGGCGUAAAGCGCGCGUAGGUGGUUUGUUAAGUUGGAUGUGAAAUCCCCGGGCUCAACCUGGGAACUGCAUCCAAAACUGGCAAGCUAGAGUAUGGUAGAGGGUGGUGGAAUUCCUGGUGUAGCGGUGAAAUGCGCAGAUAUCAGGAGGAACACCGAUGGCGAAGGCAGCCUUCUGGGCCAACACUGACGCUCAUGCACGAAAGCGUGGGGAGCAAACAGGA